Molecule: ribosomal RNA, 253 nt
Filed under: uncultured bacterium
Lineage: Bacteria
Description: partial 16S ribosomal RNA
Rfam family: Bacterial small subunit ribosomal RNA
Source: RNAcentral
UACGUAGGGUGCAAGCGUUAAUCGGAAUUACUGGGCGUAAAGCGUGCGCAGGCGAUGAUGUAAGACAGGUGUGAAAUCCCCGGGCUUAACCUGGGAACUGCAUUUGUGACUGCAUCGCUGGAGUGCGGCAGAGGGGGAUGGAAUUCCGCGUGUAGCAGUGAAAUGCGUAGAUAUGCGGAGGAACACCGAUGGCGAAGGCAAUCCCCUGGGCCUGCACUGACGCUCAUGCACGAAAGCGUGGGGAGCAAACAGG